Molecule: small nucleolar RNA, 127 nt
Filed under: Dasypus novemcinctus (nine-banded armadillo)
Lineage: Eukaryota; Metazoa; Chordata; Mammalia; Cingulata; Dasypodidae
Description: Small nucleolar RNA SNORA31 (ENSDNOG00000044968.1)
Source: RNAcentral
AAGCCAAAAGUUGGGUUUUUAAAAAGAUUUUUAAAAAUCAACUCACUACAGAUGCAAGAAAAAGAAGGUCCUCACACUUUCUGUCUGUCUGGUUGUGGCAGCCAGGAUUGAAUGGGGAAAUACAGGA